UGCAUCGGCCGGGAAUCGAACCUGGGCCGCCCGCGUGGCAGGCGAGCAUUCUACCACUGAACCGCCGAUGG
This 71-nucleotide transfer RNA is filed under the name Cordylochernes scorpioides. Its description in RNAcentral is "tRNA-Gly". The record is from RNAcentral. Lineage: Eukaryota; Metazoa; Arthropoda; Arachnida; Pseudoscorpiones; Chernetidae.